GUUGUUGAGUUUGAACGACCUCUCUCGGUCAAUUCUUAGUUCCGGAGAGGUUUAGGUUUGUUGUACUGCAGUUUCGGCUUUCGGUACCUAUGAUUGCCACGCGGACCUAACUUUUUAAGACUCCGAUCCUGCUUUCCCUUUGUACGCGUACACGUCGUUCUGCGUAGAAGAUGACGUGGAUUUCGAUUUCGCGGUUCAUGAUGGGUUGACGGCUGCAAACGUGGUUUGUCGUUUGUACUUUUCGGUCGGUUGGGUCCGCCGUUCCGAGGUUUCGCCACUUAAGGCCUAAGUAUAUAUGAGGGAGACAUUUGAUUAUAUUCUCACAAAUCUAUUGAUUUUAUCAUUAGGUUUGCGAGAAUAUAAUCAAAUGCCUCCCUCAUGUAAAAUUUGGAGAACACACCUAACUACUUCUUCUUAUUACUGUACAUGUAGUAAACCGCACGAAACAGAUGAUUUAUUAUGUAUAUGGCUUCUGAGAUUAUCAUAGAUUCUUCAAUUCUCCACCUUUUCUUUAUACCUAGCUAGAUAACGUACAAUUAUCAAACAUGCAGGAGCCACCUAAAGCGGUGACAGGAUUCAAGUACAUGACC
RNAcentral lists this ribosomal RNA (590 nucleotides) under Triticum aestivum (bread wheat). RNAcentral describes it as "partial small subunit ribosomal RNA". Lineage: Eukaryota; Viridiplantae; Streptophyta; Magnoliopsida; Poales; Poaceae. The record is from RNAcentral.